This 901-nucleotide ribosomal RNA is filed under the name uncultured bacterium. Its description in RNAcentral is "bacterial SSU rRNA". It matches the Rfam family "Bacterial small subunit ribosomal RNA", at positions 1 to 945 of the family's 1533-position model. The record is from RNAcentral.
AUUAGAGUUUGAUCCUGGCUCAGAACGAACGCUGGCGGCAUGCCUAAUACAUGCAAGUCGAACGCUCGUAGCAAUACGGGAGUGGCGGACGGGUGAGUAACGCGUGGGAACCUGCCCUUGAGUGCGGGAUAACCGAGGGAAACUUCGGCUAAUACCGCAUGCGCCCCGAGCAAUCGGGGGAAAGAUUUAUCGCUCGAGGAGGGGCCCGCGUCGGAUUAGCUAGUUGGUGGGGUAACGGCCUACCAAGGCGAUGAUCCGUAGCUGGUCUGAGAGGGUGAUCAGCCACACUGGGACUGAGACACGGCCCAGACUCCUACGGGAGGCAGCAGUAGGGAAUAUUGGACAAUGGGGGCAACCCUGAUCCAGCAAUGCCGCGUGAGUGAUGAAGGCCUUAGGGUUGUAAAGCUCUUUCGCGCGCGACGAUGAUGACGGUAGCGCGAGAAGAAGCCCCGGCUAACUUCGUGCCAGCAGCCGCGGUAAUACGAAGGGGGCGAGCGUUGUUCGGAAUUACUGGGCGUAAAGGGCGCGCAGGCGGCCUUACAAGUCAGGCGUGAAAGCCCCGGGCUUAACCUGGGAAUUGCGCUUGGGACUGUGGGGCUUGAGUUCGGGAGAGGAGAGUGGAAUUCCCAGUGUAGAGGUAAAAUUCGUAGAUAUUGGGAAGAACACCGGUGGCGAAGGCGGCUCUCUGGACCGAGACUGACGCUGAGGCGCGAAAGCGUGGGGAGCAAACAGGAUUAGAUACCCUGGUAGUCCACGCUGUAAACGAUGUGCGCUAGACGUUGGAGGGCCUAGCCCUCCGGUGUCGCCGCUAACGCUUUAAGCGCACCGCCUGGGGAGUACGGCCGCAAGGUUAAACUCAAAGGAAUUGACGGGGGCCCGCACAAGCGGUGGAGCAUGUGGU